This 29-nucleotide non-coding RNA is filed under the name Mus musculus (house mouse). Lineage: Eukaryota; Metazoa; Chordata; Mammalia; Rodentia; Muridae. The record is from RNAcentral.
UGAGUGUUCCUUAAAUGUACCUCAGGGAC